UUUUGUGUCGGUGACUGUGACUGUGACUGCCCCGUUAGUAUCGGCAACGGGAUCGCGACGAAAAGUUCAGUUUCAUUUUCGUUGCUCGUUGUCGUGCGCUUUGAAAUGCUAGAACAACAACAACAAGAGCAGCCAAAGGAGACGCAAAAAGUGAAUAGAAAACAGCUAAAAAGUUUCGCAUAGAAG
Molecule: long non-coding RNA, 186 nt
Organism: Drosophila innubila
Lineage: Eukaryota; Metazoa; Arthropoda; Insecta; Diptera; Drosophilidae
Exons: 2
Source: RefSeq, a predicted model, not a curated record